UACUAUUCACAAGUUGAAUUAUCAGAAGCUUUGUUAUAAUCGACGAAUUUCUUUGAAAACCUUCUUCGAAAAAAAAAGUGAAUUUGGAUAAGAAACUUAAAAUCUGAUAUUUUAAUGGGGAAGUGAAAGGUGGCGUCAGAGGAUCAACUGCGACAACCUCAUUUUCACUAUGCAAACAGUUAGUCUUUCUCACAAGAGGGAGAGAGAGAGCCCGGCGUAGACAAAAAGAAUCAUGUGCUUUGUCUUCUUUCGCCGGAUGGACCAAGGUCGAACUAUGCGUGAAUGACUUGCCUCAAUGAGAAGAGACUUCUAUGUGACGUCAUUAUAGGUGAGAUAUCCGGGAUAAUAAAAAAACUGCGCAUGUUUCCACAGUUGUUGCGGUCUUACGUCGGAAAAGUUUUUAGAUUUUCUCCGGUGUUGCCCAGAAUGAAGGUGCCUCUGGAUCAUAGGCAGGUGAGUAAAUAACAAUUUUUUGAAUGAAUAAAUAAAUAAUAAUAAUUCGUUUUAGGUGUCUUAUUGUUCACCCAGAAAACGUGACGGGGGAAAGAGACAUUUUGGUCUAAGAGAUAUUUUGGUUUAAAAUGAUUGCCAUCAAUUUUUCAAAAUAAUUUAUCUAAAUCACUCCUAUGGCAAAGAAAUAAGGCUUGUCUCCGAGCAAAAGAUUACAACGUGAUCUUUCUCAUGAUAUGGGUAUUCAGAUUUUAGUUCUUAACAUGCGUGUAUUUCUCGAUUGAAAUUUCCUUGAAUACACAAUGAGUGAAGACAUUUUUUCAUGGUACCGUAAACUAAGUGCUGUAAAAUUGCAACUUUGUUUGCGACAAACUCGAAUAAAUGCGUUUUAUUUUGAUAUGCAAAGACAGUUAAGAAUCAUCUUUAAGGAAGAGAAGGGACAGCAAAUCCAGUACAGAAAGCGCUCUGCCACCACUAUCUGUUCAAGUUGAGGCCCAAUCGCAACCAGUAAGCGGUGAAGGCUGCUUAUAAACUUCUUUAAGGUAUUUUUAAGUCAACAUCCUUGUGGACAAAAGGUGGAGAACAAUACAGAAAGGCCGUCGGGACUUAUUAAAGGACGACCAUGACCGCCUGAUAGAGAUUUUGGAAUAUGUGAGAGAACACUGCGGCACACCUAGUGGAGCAGCUGCGAUAAUGGACGAGGGAAUUUCCAUUCCUACAGGCAGAGGGUGUCAUGAUAUGGUGAUUUAGUUUGAAAUACCAUUCUGAAUAAAGAGAAGUCCACGACUAUCGCUACCAAUGUAAUGGUAAAUUUUUACACCGAGAACGUACCAGAAAAAUAUACUUCGAGAAAAUUUAACAGGUAAAGUGGGGCGGCGUAACGUCCAAAGUCUGAUUCAAAAUAUUUACUGUCUGUAGCACAGAGCUUGGAGUGAUUUUCGCGCUCACUUUUCAGUAUAAUAUGUCUUACAUAAACUUUUACUGUAUUUCUUAAAGGCAAAAUUCAAGGGGCCCUUUAUACUUUUAUUACCUAGUUUUCUCAUAUUAUAUCAUCUUCGCAUGAGCUCCUUAGAAGAACUCCUUAAGCUCAUGAUCAUCGAGGCAGUCAAAGCGCUGUGAUUUUUCUUUCUUUUGAUUUUUUUUUCACUGGGCUCAAUGUUGGGGGCGGGGGGAGACAACUUAACUAAGAAUCAAACUGGGUGACUUUUCUAAAUCUCCUUCACAUCUGCAUUUGAAAUUACUUUACACGUUUUUCAAAAGUGUUUGAUUUUUUUAAAUUCUGCCAGGGAACACACGAAGCAUUACGUCACAAUCAUAUUUGAAUACUCUCUCGAUAAUCUCAUCUGAAUUAGAACGCGCCUACCAUCUUAAAUAUUUUAGAAGGAGGAAUUUAGACGCUUCGAGGUUAGGUUAUACGAUUCUGCGUGGAAUCAGAAAUUCUUUAUUUCAUAGACAGAUAAGUUCGUCGAAAAAUGAAAUAUCAGUUUUAUUCAAUAUUUAGUUAUACUCCAAAUCUCAAGUUUUUGGUUGGCAUGGGUAUUGAUAUAAGACAGGCGAUUAAAAAUUGGAUUAUAAAUUUAUAAUAUCUUGACGAAAAAAAUAAGAGCUAAAGGAUUAAUAUCAGGAAAUUUAAAAUAUCUUGAUAUGAGGGGAAGAGGAUUUUUUACGACGCGGCUUGUGAUUUGUAGCUCCUUCACGCCUCAUAACCAUAUGCAACUCUCACUUAGUCAAGAGGAAAUGGAAAGCAUUGUUACACAGGCUGGUUACAACAUCGACUAAAGUUUCCUGAAAGAAAAUAACAGACAAUGUAUGGAACAUCCACUUCAACCAACAGGGUAAAUUCAAGGACAGGUACAGCCAUAGCCACCAUGAAGCAAGCAUCCUUACCACUCCCAAAAUGCAUUGUGAGCUGCUCCAGAUGUCCAGGUGGUCCAGGGAACAAUUUAAACAUUAAUACAGUUUUGUCUAUUUAGAUUAAUUAUUGCUAAGUACAUCAUUUCACAACAAUGUACUUUAACAAGUCAGGUAUAUAUAUAAUUAAUAACACAAAAGCAAAUGCUUUCUGGUUUUAUUGCUAAUAGAGAUAUCAAAUCAAGAAAGUAUAAGCUUUUUUAUGACAAGUCAAAUUUUAGCUGAAGGCUUUUCGAGUUAUUAAUUUGACAAUAAAAAAUCUAAAACAAGCUAAAAUUCCAAGAUAAUUUA
This is a long non-coding RNA of Pocillopora damicornis (cauliflower coral), 2652 nucleotides long. NCBI's taxonomy places the organism in Eukaryota, Metazoa, Cnidaria, Anthozoa, Scleractinia, Pocilloporidae. The record is from RefSeq and is a predicted model, not a curated record.